Molecule: transfer RNA, 76 nt
Filed under: Rickettsiales endosymbiont of Stachyamoeba lipophora
Lineage: Bacteria; Pseudomonadati; Pseudomonadota; Alphaproteobacteria; Rickettsiales
Description: tRNA-Trp
Rfam family: tRNA
About the family: Transfer RNA (tRNA) molecules are approximately 80 nucleotides in length. Their secondary structure includes four short double-helical elements and three loops (D, anti-codon, and T loops). Further hydrogen bonds mediate the characteristic L-shaped molecular structure. tRNAs have two regions of fundamental functional importance: the anti-codon, which is responsible for specific mRNA codon recognition, and the 3' end, to which the tRNAs corresponding amino acid is attached (by aminoacyl-tRNA synthetases). tRNAs cope with the degeneracy of the genetic code in two manners: having more than one tRNA (with a specific anti-codon) for a particular amino acid; and 'wobble' base-pairing, i.e. permitting non-standard base-pairing at the 3rd anti-codon position.
Source: RNAcentral
AGGAGUAUAGCUCAAUUGGUAGAGCACCGGUCUCCAAAACCGGGGGUUGGGGGUUCAAGUCCUCUUGCUCCUGCCA